AUAAACCGGAGGAAGUGGGAGUGACGUCAAGUCAGCAUGGCCUUUAUAUCCUGGGCUACACACACGCUACAAUGGGAAGGGACAAUAGGUUGCGAAGCCGCGAGGCGGAGCCAAUCCAGCAAAACUUCCCUCAGUUCAGAUUGCAGGCUGCAACCCGCCUGCAUGAAGUUGGAGUUGCUAGUAAACGCAGGUCAGCCAUACUGCGUUGAAUACGUUCCCGGGGCUU
RNAcentral lists this ribosomal RNA (226 nucleotides) under uncultured Anaerolineaceae bacterium. RNAcentral describes it as "partial 16S ribosomal RNA". It matches the Rfam family "Bacterial small subunit ribosomal RNA", at positions 1158 to 1382 of the family's 1533-position model. The record is from RNAcentral. Lineage: Bacteria; Bacillati; Chloroflexota; Anaerolineae; Anaerolineales; Anaerolineaceae.